This 181-nucleotide ribosomal RNA is filed under the name uncultured rumen bacterium. Its description in RNAcentral is "partial 16S ribosomal RNA". It matches the Rfam family "Bacterial small subunit ribosomal RNA", at positions 327 to 523 of the family's 1533-position model. The record is from RNAcentral.
CGGUCCAGACUCCUACGGGAGGCAGCAGUGGGGAAUAUUGGGCAAUGGGCGCAAGCCUGACCAGCAACGCCGCGUGAAGGAAGAAGGCUUUCGGGUUGUAAACUUCUUUUCUCAGGGACGAAGAAAAUGACGGUACCUGAGGAAUAAGCCACGGCUAACUACGUGCCAGCAGCCGCGGUAA